UGACGCUGAGGUUGGUACUUGUACCGACUGGAUGAGCAGCGAACGGGUGAGUAACGCGUGGGGAAUCUGCCUUUGAGCGGGGGACAACAUUUGGAAACGAAUGCUAAUACCGCAUAAAAACUUUAAACACAAGUUUUAAGUUUGAAAGAUGCAAUUGCAUCACUCAAAGAUGAUCCCGCGUUGUAUUAGCUAGUUGGUGAGGUAAAGGCUCACCAAGGCGAUGAUACAUAGCCGACCUGAGAGGGUGAUCGGCCACAUUGGGACUGAGACACGGCCCAAACUCCUACGGGAGGCAGCAGUAGGGAAUCUUCGGCAAUGGACGAAACUCUGACCGAGCAACGCCGCGUGAGUGAAGAAGGUUUUCGGAUCGUAAAACUCUGUUGGUAGAGAAAANCGUUGGUGAGAGUGGAAAGCUCAUCAAGUGACGGUAACUACCCAGAAAGGGACGGCUAACUACGUGCCAGCAGCCGCGGUAAUACGUAGGUCCCGAGCGUUGUCCGGAUUUAUUGGGCGUAAAGCGAGCGCAGGUGGUUAUUAAGUCUGGNGUAAAAGGCAGUGGCUCANCCAUUGU
RNAcentral lists this ribosomal RNA (571 nucleotides) under Lactococcus lactis subsp. lactis. RNAcentral's name for it is "bacterial SSU rRNA". It matches the Rfam family "Bacterial small subunit ribosomal RNA", at positions 62 to 619 of the family's 1533-position model. The record is from RNAcentral. Lineage: Bacteria; Bacillati; Bacillota; Bacilli; Lactobacillales; Streptococcaceae.